Molecule: ribosomal RNA, 483 nt
Filed under: uncultured bacterium
Lineage: Bacteria
Description: partial 16S ribosomal RNA
Rfam family: Bacterial small subunit ribosomal RNA
Source: RNAcentral
GACGAACGCUGGCGGCGUGCUUAACACAUGCAAGUCGAACGAUGAUGCCCAGCUUGCUGGGUGGAUUAGUGGCGAACGGGUGAGUAACACGUGAGUAACCUGCCCCUGACUCUGGGAUAAGCGUUGAAAACGACGUCUAAUACUGGAUAUGACUGCCGGCCGCAUGGUCUGGUGGUGGAAAGAUUUUUUGGUUGGGGAUGGACUCGCGGCCUAUCAGCUUGUUGGUGAGGUAAUGGCUCACCAAGGCGACGACGGGUAGCCGGCCUGAGAGGGGGACCGGCCACACUGGGACUGAGACACGGCCCAGACGCCUACGGGAGGCAGCAGUGGGGAAUAUUGCACAAUGGGCGAAAGCCUGAUGCAGCAACGCCGCGUGAGGGAUGACGGCCUUCGGGUUGUAAACCUCUUCUAGUAGGGAAGAAGCGUAAGUGACGGUACCUGCAGAAAAAGCACCGGCUAACUACGUGCCAGCCGCCGCGGUAA